This 510-nucleotide unclassified non-coding RNA is filed under the name uncultured Glomus. Its description in RNAcentral is "SSU rRNA". It matches the Rfam family "Eukaryotic small subunit ribosomal RNA", at positions 569 to 1081 of the family's 1831-position model. The record is from RNAcentral. Lineage: Eukaryota; Fungi; Glomeromycota; Glomeromycetes; Glomerales; Glomeraceae.
AGCAGCCGCGGUAAUUCCAGCUCCAAUAGCGUAUAUUAAAGUUGUUGCAGUUAAAAAGCUCGUAGUUGAAUUUCGGGGUUAGCAGGUCGGUCGUGCCAUCGGUAUGAACUGGUCUCGCUGAUCCCUCCCUCUUGACGAACUGUGAUGCCAUUAAUUUGGUGUCGCAGGGAAUCAGGACUGUUACUUUGAAAAAUUAGAGUGUUUAAAGCAGGCUCACGCUUGAAUACAUUAGCAUGGAAUAAUGAAAUAGGACGUUUGAUCCUAUUUUGUUGGUUUCUAGGAUUGACGUAAUGAUUAAUAGGGAUAGUUGGGGGCAUUAGUAUUCAAUUGUCAGAGGUGAAAUUCUUGGAUUUAUUGAAGACUAACUACUGCGAAAGCAUUUGCCAAGGAUGUUUUCAUUAAUCAAGAACGAAAGUUAGGGGAUCGAAGACGAUCAGAUACCGUCGUAGUCUUAACCAUAAACUAUGCCGACUAGGGAUCGGAUGAUGUUAAUUUUUAAUGACUCAUUAC